RNAcentral lists this ribosomal RNA (630 nucleotides) under Cryptococcus williamsi (maple scale). Its description in RNAcentral is "bacterial SSU rRNA". It matches the Rfam family "Eukaryotic small subunit ribosomal RNA", at positions 10 to 567 of the family's 1831-position model. The record is from RNAcentral. Lineage: Eukaryota; Metazoa; Arthropoda; Insecta; Hemiptera; Eriococcidae.
GAUUCCCUGCCAGUAGUCAUAUGCUUGUCUCAAAGAUUAAGCCAUGCAUGUCUCAGUGCAAGCCGUCCUGUACGGUGAAACCGCGAAAGGCUCAUUAAAUCAGUUAUGGUUCCUUAGAUAGUACCCACGUUACUUGGAUAACUGUGGUAAUUCUAGAGCUAAUACAUGCCUAUUGAGUUCCGACCGGGGUCGCGGCGGUUUCGGCCGCGCGGCGGCGUUCGGGAGGAGCGCUUUUAUUAGAUCAAAACCGGCCGAGCGGCCGUCUUCCGAGGCGGCCGUAAGGGGCCCGCGCAAUGACUUGACGACUCUGAAUAACUUCGAGCUGAUCGCACGGUCUCGUACCGGCGACGUAUCUUUCAAAUGUCUGCCUUAUCAACUGUCGACGGUAAGUUAGAUGCUUACCGUGGUGGUAACGGGUAACGGGGAAUCAGGGUUCGAUUCCGGAGAGGGAGCCUGAGAAACGGCUACCACAUCCAAGGAAGGCAGCAGGCGCGCAAAUUACCCACUCCCAGCUCGGGGAGGUAGUGACGAAAAAUAACGAUACGGGACUCAUCCGAGGCCUCGUAAUCGGAAUGAGUACACUUUAAAACCUUGGUCACACGAGGAUCAAUUGGAGGGCAAGUCUGGUGC